GUUGUAACUACAAUGUUAGCUGUAGGCCAGCCCUCUGGUCCUCCUUGUGGUUUAACUACAAUGUUAGCUGUAGGCCAGCCCUCUGGUCCUCCUGCUGUUAUAACUACAAUGUUAGCUGUAGGCCUGCCCUCUGGUCCUCCUGGUGGUUUAACUACAAUGUUAGCUGUAGGCCAGCCCUCUGGUCCUCCUGGUGGUUUAACUACAAUGUUAGCUCUAGGCCUGUCCUCGGGUCCUCCUGGUGGUUCAACUACAAUGCUAGCUGUAGGCCUGUCCUCUGGUCCUCCUGGUGGUUUAACUACAAUGUUAGCUGUAGGCCUGCCCUCUGGUCCUCCUGGUGGUUUAACUACAAUGUUAGCUGUAGGCCAGCCCUCUGGUCCUCCUGCUGUUAUAACUACAAUGUUAGCUGUAGGCCUGCCCUCUGGUCCUCCUGGUGGUUUAACUACAUUGUUAGCUGUAGGCCUGCCCUCUGGUCCUCCUGGUGGUUUAACUACAUUGUUAGCUGUAGGCCUGCCCUCUGGUCCUCCUGGUGGUUUAACUACAUUGUUAGCUGUAGGCCAGCCCUCUGGUCCUCCUGCUGUUAUAACUACAAUGUUAGCUGUAGGCCUGCCCUCUGGUCCUCCUGGGGGUUUAACUACAAUGUUAGCUGUAGGCCUGUCCUCUGGUCCUCCUGGUGGUUUAACUACAAUGUUAGCUGUAUGCCAACCCUCUGGUCCUCCUGGUGUUGUAACUACAAUGUUAGCUGUAGGCCUGUCCUCUGGUCCUCCUGGUGGUUUAACUACAAUGUUAGCUGUAGGCCAGCCCUCUGGUCCUCCUGGUGGUUUAACUACAAUGUUAGCUGUAGACCUGUCCUCUGGUCCUCCUGGUGGUUUAACUACAAUGUUAGCUGUAGGCCAGCCCUCUGGUCCUCCUUGUGGUUUAACUACAAUGUUAGCUGUAGGCCAGCCCUCUGGUCCUCCUGCUGUUAUAACUACAAUGUUAGCUGUAGGCCUGCCCUCUGGUCCUCCUGCUGUUAUAACUACAAUGUUAGCUGUAGGCCAGCCCUCUGGUCCUCCUUGUGGUUUAACUACAAUGUUAGCUGUAGGCCAGCCCUCUGGUCCUCCUGGUAGUUUAACUACAAUGUUAGCUGUAGGCCUGCCCUCUGGUCCUCCUGGUGGUUUAACUACAAUGUUAGCUGUAGGCCAGCCCUAUGGUCCUCCUGGUGGUUAUAACUACAAUGUUAGCUGUAGGCCAGCCCUCUGGUCCUCCUGCUGUUAUAACUACAAUGUUAGCUGUAGGCCUGCCCUCUGGUCCUCCUGCUGUUAUAACUACAAUGUUAGCUGUAGGCCUGCCCUCUGGUCCUCCUGCUGUUAUAACUACAAUGUUAGCUGUAG
This 1370-nucleotide long non-coding RNA is filed under the name Salmo salar (Atlantic salmon). RNAcentral describes it as "lncRNA (ENSSSAG00000090341.1)". Lineage: Eukaryota; Metazoa; Chordata; Actinopteri; Salmoniformes; Salmonidae. The record is from RNAcentral.